Molecule: ribosomal RNA, 430 nt
Filed under: uncultured bacterium
Lineage: Bacteria
Description: bacterial SSU rRNA
Rfam family: Bacterial small subunit ribosomal RNA
Source: RNAcentral
GACGAACGCUGGCGGCGUGCUUAACACAUGCAAGUCGAACGGUAAGGCCCUUCGGGGUACACGAGUGGCGAACGGGUGAGUAACACGUGGGUGAUCUGCCCUGCACUUCGGGAUAAGCCUGGGAAACUGGGUCUAAUACCGGAUAGGACCAUGGACUUCACGGUUUGUGGUGGAAAGCUUUUGCGGUGUGGGAUGGGCCCGCGGCCUAUCAGCUUGUUGGUGGGGUAAUGGCCUACCAAGGCGACGACGGGUAGCCGGCCUGAGAGGGUGUCCGGCCACACUGGGACUGAGAUACGGCCCAGACUCCUACGGGAGGCAGCAGUGGGGAAUAUUGCACAAUGGGCGCAAGCCUGAUGCAGCGGCGCCGCGUGAGGGAUGACGGCCUUCGGGUUGUUAAACCGUCUUUCUAACUAGGGACGUAAGCGCAAGU